This 474-nucleotide ribosomal RNA is filed under the name uncultured bacterium. RNAcentral describes it as "partial 16S ribosomal RNA". It matches the Rfam family "Bacterial small subunit ribosomal RNA", at positions 28 to 507 of the family's 1533-position model. The record is from RNAcentral.
GACGAACGCUGGCGGCGCGCUUAACACAUGCCAGUCGAGCGGUAAGGCUCCUUCGGGAGUACACGAGCGGCGCACGGGUGAGUAACACGUGAGUAAUCUGCCCUUCACUUCGGGAUAACCACCGGAAACGGUGGCUAAUACCGAAUACGACCAGUCUUCGCAUGAGGUGCUGGUGGAAAGUCUUUUCGGUGAAGGAUGUGCUCGCGGCCUAUCAGCUUGUUGGUGGGGUAAUGGCCUACCAAGGCUUCGACGGGUAGCCGGCCUGAGAGGGUGACCGGCCACACUGGGACUGAGACACGGACCAGAGUCCUACGGGAGGCAGCAGUGGGGAAGAUUGGACAAUGGGCGAAAGCCUGAUCCAGCAACGCCGCGUGAGGGAUGACGGCCUUCGGGUUGUAAACCUCGUUCAGUACCGACGAAGCGCCCUGUCGGGUGGUGACGGUAGGUACAGAAGAAGGACCGGCCAACUACGUG